CCCUUAGAUGUUCUGGGCCGCACGCGUGCUACACUGAGUGGAUCAGCGGGUCAGGUUGCGCGAAAGCGUUUCCUAAUCUUUAAAUCCGCUCGUGAUGGGGAUUGACGGUUGCAAUUUUCUGUCAUGAACGAGGAAUACCUUGUAAGCGCGGGUCAUCAUCCCGCGCUGAAUACGUCCCUGCCCUUUGUACACACCGCCCGUCGCUCCUACCGAUUGAGUGGUCCGGUGAGGCUUUGGGAUCUGAGCGGAAAGAGCGUCUCGCUGUUUCUGCUCGGAAAACUCAGUCGAACCUUAUCAUUUAGAGGAAGGAGAAGGCGUAACA
RNAcentral lists this ribosomal RNA (322 nucleotides) under uncultured eukaryote. Its description in RNAcentral is "partial 18S ribosomal RNA". It matches the Rfam family "Eukaryotic small subunit ribosomal RNA", at positions 1470 to 1796 of the family's 1831-position model. The record is from RNAcentral.